RNAcentral lists this ribosomal RNA (91 nucleotides) under Planctomycetes bacterium RIFOXYC2_FULL_41_27. Lineage: Bacteria; Pseudomonadati; Planctomycetota. The record is from RNAcentral.
AUGCAACACCCGUUCCCAUUCCGAACACGGUAGUUAAGGUUCUUACGCUGAUGGUACUGGUGAAAGCUGGGAGAGUAAGUUACUGCCGGGA